UACGUAGGGACCAAGCGUUGUCCGGCAUCAUUGGGCGUAAAGAGCUCGUAGGCGGUUUGGUAAGUCGGGUGUGAAAUCUCCACGCUCAACGAGGAGGGGACACUCGAUACUGCCAUGACUCGAGUCCGGUAGGGGAGUGGGGAAAUCCCGGUGUAGCGGUGAAACGCGCAGAGAUCGGGAGGAGCACCCGUAGCAAAGGCGGCACUCUGGGCCGGUACUGACGCUGAGGAGCGAAAGCGUGGGGAGCGAACAGG
RNAcentral lists this ribosomal RNA (254 nucleotides) under uncultured bacterium. Its description in RNAcentral is "partial 16S ribosomal RNA". It matches the Rfam family "Bacterial small subunit ribosomal RNA", at positions 524 to 776 of the family's 1533-position model. The record is from RNAcentral.